Ictidomys tridecemlineatus (thirteen-lined ground squirrel) is the source of this 1752-nucleotide long non-coding RNA. RefSeq lists it as uncharacterized. The record is from RefSeq and is a predicted model, not a curated record. NCBI's taxonomy places the organism in Eukaryota, Metazoa, Chordata, Mammalia, Rodentia, Sciuridae.
GUAUUUUACCUGACAUAGGAACUAAAGAUUUCUGGAGGAAGUAAAACAUAUCAAUAAAGAUAAUGUUUGAAAGGACUACAUUUCCCAACAUUUCAGGAGUAAAAUUGCUGAACAAAGCUAAGAAAAUCCUUCACGUGAAAAAUAACUGAGGAGCAGAGAAGCUCCAGCAGUUUUCCGGUGGCUGAUGGAACAUCACCUCAAAGGUCUACUUUGUCAAUUCUUAAGUUUGGGGUUCUUCACGCUUCAUCCUUGCCUGUAUUCCUGCUGGGAAUCUGAUGCAUUCCUAAGUAAAACUGUAAAAAGAAGUUAAUCACAAGUGCAUGGCAAUGGAGAAUUCAAUGACAACUCACGAAGUUUGCUACCACUGCCUUGGUAAGCUCAGGAAGUUUUAUUUUCCAUUGGAAUAUACUGGAAACCUGUCCUUAUCCACAUACAUAGAUCUCCAUCAUUCUAAGACUGGACAAUAUUUCAUUUUCUGCAGGAUGAGAAAUCCAAGAUCAGUGGGUCAGCAGAUUCAGUUCUUAACAAGAGCCCAAUUUCAAGCCCACUGCCUGGCUUGCUGAUGGUUGCAGUCUACGUGUAUCCUCACAUGGUAGAGAAAGGAAGCUUAUGGUAUUUCGUCCUCUUCUUAUAAAGGUACGAAUCCCAUCAUGAGUGUUCCACCCUGGUGACCUCAUCUAACUAAUAUGUAGUAGGAUCAACUGGAUUCAUCCUAAUAUCUCUAGGAGGUAGCAUCACUGCCUGUGGUUUUUGUCCAUCUCUCAACACUUGAGAGGAUGACUAAAAGGAGGAAAUUGUUGAUAAUAAACCGACCUAAGUAAAAUAAACUGGCCUAAAUCAGUCUCCAUACUUGAAUGGUGAUGUGAUCUAAAGAGCCCUCAAUAUGUAGUGAACUACAACCUAAUUUGAUAAGAAAGCAGGUGUACAGGUGUAACCUAGCUGAGUGUAGCCUUAUAGCUAAGUAGCUGAGCUCAAUCACAGCAGCCAAUCCCUCAACCAAUUUCAGACUAAAGGUUGCCAAAUUAUGCCCAACUAGGUCAAAUGCCUGACCAUACCAAUCAGGUAAUUUCUGUAUGUCUUUCCCAUUUUAAUGGUUGUAGAAGUAAUUCACUACACUGUAAAAGGGGAGUAUUCCAAACCAUCCCUCACUCUGGAAUGCUGCCAGUUCUAUAACCUUUUACUUAUUCAAGUAAACUGUUAAAUUGAACUGGUAUGUUUUUCUUUUAAAAAAAGUGAUCAAGAAAUAGGAAACAACCAUAUCUCCUAGCUGGUCAUCCUAUUUUCGACUCUUACUGAUUGCUAAACCUUCUUCCACACACCAGUAAGUUCCCCCAGCUUAAAAACUCUCAAUCGCUUAUCACAGCAUUUAGAAUAAAAUUCAAAAUAACUGUCUUGGCCUUCAGGCCCUAUAUGAUCUAGUCUCUGCCUCUCUACACUUCCUCUCACAGCAGACUCUUUCUCACUACACUCUAGCUACUCUAUAGGUCUCAAUCCAUGCCUCUAACAUGGCAACUUUUCUGCCUUGGGGCUUUGUACUGUACUUCAUUGUGCUUGGAACACUUUUUUCCUUACUUUCUUUGUAUUCUUCAAGUUUCACUUUAAAAUUCUGACAUACUGGUACCAAGCAUGUGAUCCUGGCCCUCAUAAAGAAUAGGAAUUCAAAUAGUUGAAUCCUCCCCCUAUUAAGACUAGCAGUCUUUCAAGGACCUGGGUUCAACCCUCAAUACUUCAAAAAACAAAACAACAUAAAAC